UACGUAGGGCGCAAGCGUUGUCCGGAAUUAUUGGGCGUAAAGAGCUCGUAGGCGGCUUGUCACGUCGAUUGUGAAAGCCCCGAGGCUUAACCUCGGGUCUGCAGUCGAUACGGGGCUAGCUAGAGUGUGGUAGGGGAGAUCGAAUUCCUGGUGUAGCGGUGAAAUGCGCAGAUAUCAGGAGGAACACCGGUGGCGAAGGCGGAUCUCUGGGCCAUUACUGACGCUGAGGAGCGAAAGCGUGGGGAGCGAACGG
RNAcentral lists this ribosomal RNA (253 nucleotides) under uncultured bacterium. RNAcentral's name for it is "partial 16S ribosomal RNA". It matches the Rfam family "Bacterial small subunit ribosomal RNA", at positions 524 to 775 of the family's 1533-position model. The record is from RNAcentral.